GUGAACGCUGGCGGUAGGCCUAACACAUGCAAGUCGAACGGCAGCACAGUAAGAGCUUGCUCUUACGGGUGGCGAGUGGCGGACGGGUGAGGAAUACAUCGGAAUCUACUUUUUCGUGGGGGAUAACGUAGGGAAACUUACGCUAAUACCGCAUACGACCUACGGGUGAAAGCAGGGGAUCUUCGGACCUUGCGCGAUUGAAUGAGCCGAUGUCGGAUUAGCUAGUCGGCGGGGUAAAGGCCCACCAAGGCGACGAUCCGUAGCUGGUCUGAGAGGAUGAUCAGCCACACUGGAACUGAGACACGGUCCAGACUCCUACGGGAGGCAGCAGUGGGGAAUAUUGGACAAUGGGCGCAAGCCUGAUCCAGCCAUACCGCGUGGGUGAAGAAGGCCUUCGGGUUGUAAAGCCCUUUUGUUGGGAAAGAAAAGCAGCAGGUUAAUACCCCGCUGUUCUGACGGUACCCAAAGAAUAAGCACCGGCUAACUUCGUG
This 491-nucleotide ribosomal RNA is filed under the name uncultured bacterium. RNAcentral's name for it is "partial 16S ribosomal RNA". It matches the Rfam family "Bacterial small subunit ribosomal RNA", at positions 29 to 507 of the family's 1533-position model. The record is from RNAcentral.